AGAACUAACAGGAUUCCCCUAGUAACUGCGAGUGAAGAGGGAAAAGCUCAAAUUUAAAAUCUGACAGUCUAUGGCUGUCCGAGUUGUAAAUUAGAGAAGUGUUAUCUGCUCAAGCCUGUGCAAAAGUCUCUUGGAAAAGAGCAUCAUAGAGGGUGACAAUCCCGUCUUUGGCACAGAUUACUUGCGCUUUUGUGAUGCGCUCUCAAUGAGUCGAGUUGUUUGGGAAUGCAGCUCCAAAUGGGUGGUAAAUUCCAUCUAAAGCUAAAUAUUGGCGAGAAACCGAUAGCGCACAAGUACCGUGAGGGAAAGAUGAAAAGAACUUUGAAAAGAGAGUUAAACAGUACGUGAAAUUGUUGAAAGGGAAACGCUUGGAGUCAGUCGUAUCCUGCAAAAUCAACCUAACUUUUGGUUCGGUGUACUUUUUGUAGGAUGGGUCAGCAUCAAUUUUGAUUGUUGGAAAAAGGACUUGGGAAUGUGGCAUCUUUGGAUGUGUUAUAGCCCUUGUUUGUAUACAAUGAUUGGGAUUGAGGAACUCAGUGUGACUUUUGUUUGGGGGCAUUGCCUCACAUCAAUGCACUUAGGAUGCUGGCAUAAUGGCUUUAAUCGACCCGUCUUGAAACACGGACCAAGGAGUCUAACAUGCAUGCAAGUGUUUGGGUGGAAAACUCAAGCGCGUAAUGAAAGUGAAAGUUGAGAACCCUGUCGUGGGGUGCAUCGACGCCCGGUCUUGAUCUUUUGUGACGGACCUGCGGUAGAGCAUGUAUGUUGGGACCCGAAAGAUGGUGAACUAUGCCUGAAUAGGGUGAAGCCAGAGGAAACUCUGGUGGAAGCUCGUAGCGAUUCUGACGUGCAAAUCGAUCGUCGAAUUUGGGUAUAGGGGGCGAAAGACUAAUCGAACCAUCUAGUAGCUGGUUCCUGCC
Molecule: ribosomal RNA, 920 nt
Filed under: Hodophilus micaceus
Lineage: Eukaryota; Fungi; Basidiomycota; Agaricomycetes; Agaricales; Clavariaceae
Description: LSU rRNA
Rfam family: Eukaryotic large subunit ribosomal RNA
Source: RNAcentral